This 67-nucleotide small nucleolar RNA is filed under the name Nannospalax galili (Upper Galilee mountains blind mole rat). Its description in RNAcentral is "Small nucleolar RNA SNORD109A (ENSNGAG00000007668.1)". It matches the Rfam family "Small nucleolar RNA SNORD109A". Rfam says of the family: Humans have two copies of the SNORD109 gene, SNORD109A and SNORD109B. The record is from Rfam by way of RNAcentral. Lineage: Eukaryota; Metazoa; Chordata; Mammalia; Rodentia; Spalacidae.
GGAUCGAUGAUGAGAACAACUACCUGAGGACACUGAGGGUCUCAUAACAAAAGGCAAUCUGAGGUCC